AGAGUUAAAUAGUACGUGAAAUUGUUGAAAGGGAAACGAUUAAAGUCAGUCGUGCCGGCGAGAAAUCAGCUUACAAGCUAUUGUGAGUGUACUUUUUCGCAAGGCAGGUUAGCAUCGGUUUUGGUCGUGUUAAAAUGAUUGCAGGAAGGUGGCUCCUUCGGGAGUGUUAUAGCCUGUUCUAGAUAACAUGAACAAGACCGAGGAUUGCAGCGAAUGCUUUGCUACGAAUCUGAUCUCUGUCGAGGGCUCGCUUGGCUUGAGCUUGCUCGGGUAGAGUUAGUUCCUUUACAAUAGGUCAGAAUUCGAUAAAUUCGCUAAGGAUGCUGACGUAAUGGCUUUAAACGACC
RNAcentral lists this ribosomal RNA (347 nucleotides) under Paradentiscutata baiana. Its description in RNAcentral is "partial large subunit ribosomal RNA". Lineage: Eukaryota; Fungi; Glomeromycota; Glomeromycetes; Diversisporales; Gigasporaceae. The record is from RNAcentral.